RNAcentral lists this ribosomal RNA (546 nucleotides) under uncultured bacterium. RNAcentral describes it as "partial 16S ribosomal RNA". It matches the Rfam family "Bacterial small subunit ribosomal RNA", at positions 355 to 896 of the family's 1533-position model. The record is from RNAcentral.
CUAAGAAUAUUCCGCAAUGGACGGAAGUCUGACGGAGCGACGCCGCGUGGAUGACGAAGGCCGAAAGGUUGUAAAGUUCUUUGCUGGGGAAGAAUAACCGCAGGAGGGAAUGCCUGUGGGAUGACAAGAACCGGCGAAUAAGCCCCGGCCAACUACGUGCCAGCAGCCGCGGUAACACGUAGGGGGGCGAGCGUUGUUCGGAAUUACUGGGCGUAAAGGGCAUGUAGGCGGCUUGGAAAGCCUGGCGUGAAAGUCUGCAGCUUAACUGCAGGGGUGCGCUGGGAACUGCUGAGCUUGAGUGACGGAGAGGGAGCUGGAAUUCCUGGUGUAGGGGUGAAAUCUGUAGAUAUCAGGAAGAACACCGAUGGCGAAGGCAAGCUCCUGGCCGAUGACUGACGCUGAGGUGCGAAAGUGUGGGGAUCAAACAGGAUUAGAUACCCUGGUAGUCCACACAGUCAACGAUGUGCACUAGGUGCUGGGGCGGUAGCUUCGGUGCCGGAGCGAACGUGGUAAGUGCACCGCCUGGGGAGUAUGCUCGCAAGGGUG